AUGUGGGAUCUUCCUGGACCAGGGCACAAACCCGUGUCCCCUGCAUCGGCAGGUAGCGAGGUGAAGCAGAAUCGGCACAGUCUCUCAGUGUCAUAACCGGACAUGGGGUUGACCAUUGUACCACCAACCAUAAUCACCUACAGGGCACUUUCAGGGCCCUCUGUGCGAUGAACUGGACCUGGCAGCACUGGCUGUUGCACGAUUGGGACUGAUGCCAUGAAAACAACUGCCAACAAAUCAAUUAGUUAUUGCAUCAAGGCUGCUAUUCACCACACAUGUGAGAUCUCUAAUGUCACAAGCAGUUAUUCUUGAGUGACUCCUGUUCUAGAUGCUGUCAAUGAAGAUGGUAUAGCCCAACGUUCAUACACCAUUGUAUCCCUACUGUAUCUUCUGUGUCUAGUGCUUUGUUUGCAAGAUUACUAAGAAUGCAAUAGGGCAAUCUUGACAAUUGUAGUAAAACUGACAAAAAUAUUUAGGCUCUGGAGUAAGAUUUGCCAAAUUCAGAACUGUUUCUAAAUCCUGCAUAUGUGGUUUUGACUUGAUUAGUUCAAUUCCCCAAGGCCGUUUCUUUUUCCAUAAAGUGAAGAUAAUAAAAGUCUUUACUUCACAGGCUCUUUUGAGAACUGAGUUAAGUAAUUCAUAUAUUUACCUUAGUAGGAUAUCACAUUGUGUUUAUUUGAAUAUGUUACUUUCAAUUAUGUUUUCUAGAGUAAAUUCCAUUGAAAAUAACAGAGUGGGAACAGGGGUUGCUCUGAAAGAGCAUAUGAUAUUCACACUUCUCUAGAUGCAAUUUCUAGGAUAAACCUUCUUCCUUUAUUGUGAUCUGGGGCUUUGCUACGUAAAGUGUGGUCCGUAGACCAGCAGCAUUGGCAUGGCCUGGGAGCUCGUGAAAAAUGAAGAAUCCUGGGUUCCACCCCAAACUAACUGAUUCAUAAUCUGUAUUUUAAUGAGAUCCCAAGCGAUUUGUGCGCACUUUAAAAUUUGAAAAGCUCUGGUCUAUACAGCUAAGGUCCUUACGUGUCCUUUUAGAUUUUCCUGAUCUUACGCCUAAUUUAAUCAUGUUUAUUAUACCUGUAUAUUUUUGUUAACCCAAAUGUUUACUUUUAAAAUUUCUGAAUUGCUAGACAAGUCUUUCAGAAUAAGUGACACUUUAUUGAUGCACGGUAUUUUAAUUUUUCUGGUACACACUCAGACCCCCAAAGCCAUAUUGAUGCUACGUCCCCUCCCUUUUCUCACCCCGAAACACCUUAAAGACUCUCAUCAUUUGAUUACUAGAUUUUGAUUUGCCUGUUUCUAGAGAAACUACUAAGACAUAUUGGGCAUUCCCUCUUCUGAUUCUGAAAUUGAAAUAACAUCUAUGUGGGGCUUAGUGAGAGAAAUUUAAGAAAGGCAUGGAUCAUUGGAUCAUUGCUUCAUUCCAUAAAUUACUUUUCUUGACUGUAUUAAAUUGUUGAUAGAUUUAAUUCUGCCUUGAAGAAAAUGUUUAGUUGAAAAAAAAAUGUUUCGAGACAAAUUUUGACCAUGCUUAAUAGAAGACAAAUGCAUUCAGAUAAAUUGAAAUUAAUUCAAAUUAAUCAUUUAAAAGUUCAGGUAAAGAUUUUUUUUAAAUGAUUGGUACAAGGUUCUGCUAAAUUUACAUAUUUUUUCCCUUUUAAAUAACACUUUCAAGUUACAUAUAGUCCUUUAACUUUUUUAUGUGUAACACUAUUAUUAUUUCCAAUUAAUGGGGAUAUUUUCCAUACCGAUUUUUUUUUUUUCACUUACUAUUCGACCACCAUCUCAUAACAAGGACAGCUUGCGAGUGCGUGUUAACAAAGUCAAACACUACAAAUGAACUUCACAGUUCUCUGCACUGCUCAUUCUCACCUCAUGAAUCCGAAAGUGUCUAUGAAUUUGAAAGAUUGCUGCUGGCGGAUGAUCUCACCUUCCACACUUCCAUAUUCUCUGGUUACGGUUUUUCUCCUGUAAAUGGCUCCCUAUACUUGGAGCUGCAGUGCCAGACUUUCUAGACAGGCAUAAAUUACUGCUGUGUCUCCCUUCCUCUUUUUCUUCAUUUAUAUUUCAUACUGUAUGACAAAGUGAAACAUUGAGUAACGGAUGGUGCUAAAGGACGGUGACUAUUUACUGUGUUUUUUUCGUGCUCUGGGCGUUUUAUAUGUCUGAAAUACCGAACUGUAUGAUACUAGAGAUCAAACAAGAGGACUUGAAAAUUUUCAUUUGUUGCAAGGAAGCUCUGGUUUUAUAAAGGCAGCUGCAAAUUAGACUUUAAUUGCUAACUGAAAGGAAUGGUUGCAAUAUGUUGUCGGGCAAAAUAUGAAAAAUACAGAAAGGUCAAAGUAGUAAAGUAUAUAUCCACUUACCUAGAGCACUGAAUCAUUCACUGAGCUGACAUUCCUGCUGUAAACUCACUCACUUUCAUAAAAGAUUUUUUUUCCGUUUUAGGAACAAGAGAGAUGUCUGUGUCAUGCCAGCCCUAAUACCUAACCCAUCUUAAUGGGAAGGGCAGCAGAGCAAAUACCUUUCUUUCUCUUACUUGGUUCAUUUUUAAUUUAUAGGCUUUAAAACUAUUUAUCAACUAACUUCCUUCCUCCCUUCCUUCCAUUCUCUUUUUUCCCAAUAAUCUUAAACUUUCUCCUGAGGGGAAUACCAGUUUUCUCCUCACUGUCCAUGUAGUACGUGCUCCCUACAAAUUCUUUAUUUUUACCCUAAAGAUAGAGGCUGUCUUAUUUUCUGAGACAGACUGGAUGCCAAUUUUUAAAAAUUUAAAACAACUAAUAGUGGUAAACUCUGUAAUUUCUCUCAAAAAAUUUUCCCCCAAAUUAGGGCUUGACGUUAUACUGGAAGUGAAAUGCUCAAGUUAAAAGAAGGAAGGAAAUGAAUAUUUAUUGAGGGUCUACUAUGUGCCAGAAGUUUUCCCUACAUGAUUUCUUUUAAUCCUCAUCACAGCACUGUGUGAGAGCUGUUAUUCUCUCUAAUUUGCAGUUUAACAACUGCAAUUCAGACAGUCAGGAGCUUGCCCAACAUCAUAUAGCUACUAAAUCUGUAUGACUCCAAAGUCUUUCCCACUUGAUUAUAUACCAGUGUCCUCUCCCUCAAUUUUGCAAAUGAGACCCAUGAGGAGCAAAGAGACUGGGGGCUUAAAUUGGUGUCUGAGUUUGAACUGGAUAAUAGGUUCUCUGUUCAUCCCACUGUGCCAUUGGCAAUACAAAGAUGGGGAAAAAACUUGUGCAACUGGCCCUAAAAUUAAAAUUCACAUUAAAAUAUCUGUAAGAAAAUUUACCAUGUUCAUUUUCUUGAGGGGUGGAAUCUAUUAAUAUAUUUCCUGUCUGUUACUGACAAUAAAAUCUCAUGUGAUUCC
Long non-coding RNA from Aethalodelphis obliquidens (Pacific white-sided dolphin), 3358 nucleotides. RefSeq lists it as uncharacterized. The record is from RefSeq and is a predicted model, not a curated record. Lineage: Eukaryota; Metazoa; Chordata; Mammalia; Artiodactyla; Delphinidae. The transcript has 4 exons.